RNAcentral lists this antisense RNA (548 nucleotides) under Pongo abelii (Sumatran orangutan). The stretch from base 382 to 462 matches the Rfam family "Small nucleolar RNA SNORD115". Lineage: Eukaryota; Metazoa; Chordata; Mammalia; Primates; Hominidae. The record is from RNAcentral.
GCACUGAAGCUCAGGCCCUCCUGGUGCCCUGGUCUUCUGCACUGAGCUGUGUGAGCUCUUCUGUCCAGCAGACCCCCUGGCAUUGACCAGCAUAGAUGCUGACCCCAGAGGAAGACUUGCGUUGGGCCUGCUGGCUCUGGGCUCAGCCCCUGGUGAGCUGAAGCUCAGGCCCUUCCUGGCACCCUGGUCUGCUGCACCGAGCUGCGUGAGCUCUUCCACCCAGGUGCGACUUCCACCCUGGCAUUGACCAGCAUAGGUAUUGAGCCUGGGGGAAGAUAUGAAUUGGUCCCAAUGGCCCCAGGCCAGCAUCCAUCAGCUAGGUGCCCAGCCCCUGGUGCACUGAAGAUUGAUGCCUGUGCGGGGAGGGGGUUGCCUUGGGUUGGGUCGAUGAUGAGAACCUUAUAUUGUCUGAAGAGAGGUGAUGACUUAAAAAUCAUGCUCAAUAGGAUUACGCUGAGGCCCAGCCUAGGUGAGAAUUUUGGAAGAGGAUGCUGGGAAUUACGAGUUCCCUGUGAAGUCCACUGUAUUUUGAGCUAGAGACCUGGAGG